Molecule: ribosomal RNA, 424 nt
Filed under: uncultured bacterium
Lineage: Bacteria
Description: bacterial SSU rRNA
Rfam family: Bacterial small subunit ribosomal RNA
Source: RNAcentral
UGGGGAAUAUUGGACAAUGGGGGCAACCCUGUUCCAGCAAUGCCGCGGGUGUGAAGAAGGCCUGCGGGUUGUAAAGCACUUUCAGAGGGGAAGAAAAAAUCGGAUGUAACACAUCUGAGCUUGACGUUACUCUUAGAAGAAGCACCGGCUAACUCUGUGCCAGCAGCCGCGGUAAUACAGAGGGUGCGAGCGUUGUCCGGAAUCACUGGGCGUAAAGGGCGCGUAGGUGGCUGGGUAAGCGUGUGGUGAAAGUCCGGGGCUCAACCCCGGAUCUGCCGUGCGAACUGCCGAGCUCGAGCAAUGUAGAGGCAGGUGGAAUUUCGGGUGUAGCGGUGGAAUGCGUAGAUAUCCGAAAGAACACCAGUGGCGAAGGCGGCCUGCUGGGCAUUAGCUGACACUGAGGCGCGACAGCGUGGGGAGCAAA